UCCUCCAACCAAUGUAAGCAGCUUACUACUACUAUGGUCAAUUAUGAGAAUUAAAAUUAAGAUUCUUGAUUACGAGUUUAUUGUUUAAGUAUUAUAAUCCUAUAGCAAUAAGAAACGAUGGUUAUUGGUAUGGUUUUAUAUCUCGAUUGGACAAGUGGCAUCCCGACCGUCCUGUUUCGUUCCUAUGAGAAAAUAGAAUUGAGAUGAGAUCUGGACUUUAAAAUCUAUCC
Molecule: long non-coding RNA, 230 nt
Filed under: Elaeis guineensis (African oil palm)
Lineage: Eukaryota; Viridiplantae; Streptophyta; Magnoliopsida; Arecales; Arecaceae
Description: long non-coding RNA (EGUI_LNC051572)
Source: RNAcentral